CUGGAAUUAGAAAAAAGUGGUCUCAGAAUAAAAUAGAUGGAGGAAAAAAAAAGAAAAAUGCAUUCAGUUUCUUUAUCUAACAUUGAAUUGGAGUUUAACCAGUUCAUGUUUACAUUUGUAGGUUUGGGGCAGUCAUAGCUGCUGUGUGUUUAGUGGUCAGCAUAAACUCUUCAGCAAAGGUAAGCUGCCCAUGCAGACAAUUUGCGUGCUUAUUUUUUUUUAAUGUUUUAAUUCUUGAAAAUGCAGACUUUGACAUAGAUUUUUUUUCAUACAGGUAUUUUCAAAGGAGGUGAUGUUGAGAAUGAUAGUUACUGUUGUCUGAGCCAAGAGCUGCUUCCAGAGGAGCACACUGAAACACUGAAAGAGUGCCUCAUUGUCUGCAUUUGCCUGGGCAGUUGAAACUCUCAAGUAGCUUCUGCUGGGGAUUGCUGUGCUUAUUCUGCCUAUACUGCCUUGAUAAAAAUUAUGGCAGUGCUUUAUUUAUAACCUGUCUCUGCUUCUGGACUACCCAAGCAAUUGUUGCCUUUUCUCAGGAAAUCAUAAGACUUACAGCUGGUGAAGCGCCUUGUUUCUUGGAGAGCUCCCAGGAGGAGAAAGAGCUCUGGAUCAGCACACUUCUGCUCAGGCCUUCGAUAUCCUUGCUGCUAAACUUCAGCAGAAAUGUGGCCCCUGCAGAAUGACUUCCACCAGCCUGGCUAUUUGCAUGGAGCCGAGUCUUUUGAGCCCACCUGAGAAGGACAAGCUCUCCAUGGUGCAGGCGAUGGGGAAGGUGAUAUUUACCAGCUGACUACAGCCUUCUGAGCCCAGCCAAGCUGCUUUGAUUGCAGGUGCCUGGCUCAUUCUUAUGCAUUUUAUUCUAUAGCUGUGGGAUCUUCAGAAGAUUUUGAGAAUUUGGAUCAUCAGAGUGAUUUUGAUUGCAGUAGACAGACAUUGUGCUGUCAGUUGGAGAGUGAACAGAAGCUGCAUUUCUCCAAGAUGUUUUACUUUUCCUUUUAAACAAUAUGUAAAUACACAGUCUGUAGGAAGCUUAGAUACUUUUUCCCAUAAGCUUAGAAUCACUUUAAUGUUAACAAGUUACUGUGCUGACAAGUAUUGGUUGAGAUGACCUAAGACACAUUGUGUAAAUCUUUUCAAACACAGUCAUUGUAUAUUCUGGCUAUCUUUGAAUACUCCUGCCUCAUUUGACAUGAAAAAUACUUUAGAGCACAUAUCACUUUUGAGCUGCAGAUCAAGGGACUUGUGAUCCAGCUGGAAGAAGUGGUGCUGCUGUACUUACAUUCAGUAUCACUGGGAAGAAUUAUGCCAACUGCAUUAUGUGACACUCUGCAAAAACACCUUUUCCCAAGCUGUCACCCAGCUGCAACUGCUUUAUUUCAAACCCCGGUGUGCUGUUGCUAUCAAGAGCAUAACAUUCAUUAAAAAGGCUCCUGUCACUGCAUUUUUAGUAUUGCCCAGUAACACAGUAUUUAUUUGCAAGAAUUUCCUGUAAGAGUGUAGGAAGUAAAAUAGACUGCAUUCACUUGAAGUAAUUUUCUCCAGGUUGGAGAAAACGGGUAGCAAACACUAAAAUUGUUUCCUUACUGCAUUAAACAUAAAAACAUAUGAAUGGGGGCAUAUACCCCUAUUGAAAUGCUGGUCCUUUGUGUCUCUCCCACUGUAUUAGAAAGAAUGUGUCUGUGUAGCUCCAUCAUGCAGGCAAGCUGUGUGUUUUUCCCUGUGUGACUGGACAGAUAUUCUGGAAAGAUGAUAUGCCUAUUAUGUGUAUUAACUAUAUUGUGGUAUCACUCUGUAUCCUGACACUGCUCAAAAGCAGUUUCCUUUCAGUCCUAUAAAACCAAAACCAAUAACACAAUAAAAAUUAUAAAAGCCGAAGUCCUGAAGAGCCU
This is a long non-coding RNA of Cyanistes caeruleus (blue tit), 1886 nucleotides long. NCBI's taxonomy places the organism in Eukaryota, Metazoa, Chordata, Aves, Passeriformes, Paridae. The record is from Ensembl.